UUUGGUUAAUAUUUUAUUCUAGUUUGUAGUAAUAGCUUUGGGGUAAAUUUAUACAUGUAAUUUUUUGAAUUGUUAUUAUUAUAUCUAAAAGAUUUUUAAUAUGUUUAGCAGUGUUUAGUAUUGUGAAUAAUUUUAUUUUUAAAGAUACAGUUAACUCCAUUUUUGACUAGCGAAAAUUGUGCCAGCAGCUGCGGUUACACAAUUAGUUAAUAGUUAUUAUUUUAAGGGUAUAUUUAUAGGAUUAAGAAGAAAUGGUUAUAUAUUUUAUGGUUUUGAAGUGAAAUUUGAAUCUGUAUAUAAUGCUAGGUUCUAGAUUUUAUAUAUGAAAUUUAUUUUGUAGACUAGGAUUAGAUACCCUAUUAUUUUAAAUGUAAAUUGUUGCUCUUAGUAUUAAUAGUUAUGAUCUUUAAAUUAAAAGAAUUUGACGGUGAUUUAAUCUAUUCAGAGGAACCUGUCCUGUAAUCGAUAAUCCACGAUAAAUUUUACUUUAAUUAUUGUUUGUAUAUCUCUGUUUAUUGAGUGUUUUAUUAGAAUUUAUUCUCUUCAAUUUUUGUUAAAUCUUAUAUCAGGUCAAGGUGCAAUUAUAUUAAAGGAUGAGAUGGGUUACAUUUAUCUUGUAAUUUUGGAUUAGAGGUAUUAAUUAUUGUAUUAUUUCUAUGAAAUUGGAUUUGGAUGUAAUAAAUAUUAUGUAUUAUUUAUGAUAUUUGUUCUAGGUUGAGUACACAUCGCCCGUCGCUCUCAUUUUUAAGAUGAGAUAAGUCGUAACAAAGUAAGCCUAUCGGAAGAUGGGCUUGGAAUUAUA
Molecule: non-coding RNA, 802 nt
Filed under: Eurygaster testudinaria
Lineage: Eukaryota; Metazoa; Arthropoda; Insecta; Hemiptera; Scutelleridae
Source: RNAcentral